GCUCUCCAUUUUUAUGCAAAACCUUUUACAUUUUUAUUUUAUGGGUUAUUGUUGAAGGUCGUACGAUGACGUAUGGUUGUUAACACAUAUUUCCUUUGGUUUCUUAUGGAAAUUUGUUCAUUGACAACAAACAUACACAUCAUCUACUUUAUAUAAGUAUUGUAAAAAUUACAACGUAUUUUGGUGAUCUUGCAAAAUGAUCGUCAUCCCGAAAAUCGUAAACAUAUUUUCUUAUCUUUAAGUUAAAAGGGGGCAAGAAGGGUUCCAUUAACAGGCCAAUAAAUAAGAUUACAGUUAAUUUUAAUAAAAAAUAAAAAAUAGGGGUAUUUUUUUUCUCUCAUAAUAACAGUAAACAGAUUCACAACAAUGUCAAUUUCAAGAAAGCAGACAACAGUUAAUUAGUCAAUAACAGUACAGCAUCAAUGAUCUUGAAUAUAUGCCACUUUUAACUAAAAUAUAAAGGCACAGAACCAGGACAUAGGAGCACAGAACCAGGACCGUUUUUCUUAUCACCAAC
This 517-nucleotide long non-coding RNA is filed under the name Mytilus galloprovincialis (Mediterranean mussel). Lineage: Eukaryota; Metazoa; Mollusca; Bivalvia; Mytilida; Mytilidae. The record is from RNAcentral.